This 274-nucleotide ribosomal RNA is filed under the name uncultured bacterium. Its description in RNAcentral is "partial 16S ribosomal RNA". It matches the Rfam family "Bacterial small subunit ribosomal RNA", at positions 523 to 796 of the family's 1533-position model. The record is from RNAcentral.
AUACGGAGGGUGCAAGCGUUACUCGGAAUCACUGGGCGUAAAGGACGCGUAGGCGGGAAGCCAAGUCUGAUGUGAAAUCCUAUGGCUUAACCAUAGAACUGCAUUGGAAACUGGUUACCUAGAGUAUGGGAGGGGGAGAUGGAAUUAGUGGUGUAGGGGUAAAAUCCGUAGAUAUCACUAGGAAUACCGAAAGCGAAGGCGAUCUCCUGGAACAAUACUGACGCUAAGGCGUGAAAGCGUGGGGAGCAAACGGGAUUAGAAACCCCAGUAGUCC